UGAACCUAUGGGAACAAUGAGCAAAAGAG
Molecule: non-coding RNA, 29 nt
Filed under: Rattus norvegicus (Norway rat)
Lineage: Eukaryota; Metazoa; Chordata; Mammalia; Rodentia; Muridae
Source: RNAcentral